RNAcentral lists this ribosomal RNA (1104 nucleotides) under human gut metagenome. RNAcentral describes it as "bacterial LSU rRNA". It matches the Rfam family "Bacterial large subunit ribosomal RNA", at positions 1331 to 2448 of the family's 2925-position model. The record is from RNAcentral.
UUGCCGUCGAAAGCCUAAGGUUUCCUGAGGAAGGCUCGUCCUCUCAGGGUAAGUCAGGACCUAAGCCGAGGACAAAAGUCGUAGGCGAUGGACAACUGGUUGAUAUUCCAGUACCACCUUUAGCGUUUGACUGAAGCAGUGACACAGAAGGAUAGACAGAGCGCGUGACUGGUAGAGCGCGUCCAAGCGAUGAGGGAGUUAAGUAGUGAAGAACGCUUAACAAUCCUGGGUCGUGAUGGGGACUGAAAAUAAGUAGGGAAGCUGUUGAAUUCACGCUGGCGAGAAAAGCUGCUAAGGAGCGAAAGGGUGCCUGUACCGCAAACCGACACAGGUAGGCGAGGAGAGAAUCCUAAGACGAGCGGGAGAACCCUUGUUAAGGAACUCGGCAAAAUGACUCCGUAACUUAGGGAGAAGGAGUGCCUCGAGAGAGGCCGCAGAGAAUAGGCCCAAGCGACUGUUUACCAAAAACACAGGUCUGUGCGAAGUAGAGAUACGACGUAUACGGGCUGACGCCUGCCCAGUGCCGGAAGGUUAAGGGGAAGUGUUAGGGCAACCGAAGCACGGAACUUAAGCCCCGGUGAACGGCGGCCGUAACUAUAACGGUCCUAAGGUAGCGAAAUUCCUUGUCGGGUAAGUUCCGACCCGCACGAAUGGCGUAACGACUUGGGCACUGUCUCAACAUGGGACCCGGCGAAAUUGUAGUAUGUGUGAAGAUGCACAUUACCCGCGAUAGGACGGAAAGACCCCGUAGAGCUUUACUGUAGUUUAACAUUGGAUUUCGGUAACAUAUGUACAGGAUAGGUGGGAGGCGAAGAACCAGGGACGCCAGUUUCUGGGGAGCCGACCUUGGGAUACCACUCUUGUGUUAUUGGAGUUCUAACGAAUUGCCGUGAACCGGGAUUCGGACAGUGUUAGAUGGGCAGUUUGACUGGGGCGGUCGCCUCCUAAAGAGUAACGGAGGCGUCCAAAGGUUCCCUCAGAAUGGUUGGAAACCAUUCGCAGAGUGUAAAGGCAGAAGGGAGCUUGACUGCGAGACCGACAGGUCGAGCAGGUGCGAAAGCAGGGCUUAGUGAUCCGGCGGUAUGAGAGUGGAAUUGCCGUCGC